UUCGCCAGGGAACAACGAGCCCCAGCUUAAAACCCAAAGGACUUGGCGGUGCUUUAGACCCCCCUAGAGGAGCCUGUUCUAGAACCGAUACUCCCCGUUAAACCUCACCCCCUCUUGUUUACCCCGCCUAUAUACCGCCGUCGUCAGCUUACCCCGUGAGGGCCCAACAGUAAGCAGAAUUGGCAUAGCCCAAAACGUCAGGUCGAGGUGUAGCGCACGAGGAGGGAAGAAAUGGGCUACAUUUGCUGCACCAGCAAACACGGACACUGUACUGAAAAAGCAUUCGAAGGAGGAUUUAGCAGUAAGGGGCGAAUAGAGAGCCCCCCUGAAAACGGCCCUGAAGCGCGCACACACCGCCCGUCACUCUCCCCAACUGCCCUGAAAUAUAACUAAUAAAUGAUACCCGAAUAAGGGGAGGCAAGUCGUAACAUGGUAAGUGUACCGGAAGGUGCACUUGGAAAAACC
This 465-nucleotide ribosomal RNA is filed under the name Microdesmus bahianus. RNAcentral's name for it is "partial 12S ribosomal RNA". It matches the Rfam family "Bacterial small subunit ribosomal RNA", at positions 868 to 1528 of the family's 1533-position model. Lineage: Eukaryota; Metazoa; Chordata; Actinopteri; Gobiiformes; Gobiidae. The record is from RNAcentral.